GACAGCUUAGUGGUUAAAGCAAUCGGCUUUCAACCUACAGGUCACUGAUUCGAACCCAGUGUCA
Molecule: non-coding RNA, 64 nt
Organism: Schistosoma mansoni
Lineage: Eukaryota; Metazoa; Platyhelminthes; Trematoda; Strigeidida; Schistosomatidae
Source: Rfam